Molecule: long non-coding RNA, 1422 nt
Filed under: Macaca fascicularis (crab-eating macaque)
Lineage: Eukaryota; Metazoa; Chordata; Mammalia; Primates; Cercopithecidae
Description: lncRNA (ENSMFAG00000058468.1)
Source: RNAcentral
AUGUGCAGUCCUCAGAUGAACCCCGGGCUUCUCUGCAGGAUCCCAAAGCUUUAUGGGUUUUUAAAAUUUGCUGUUGCCAUUUCACCUCCUUGGGACCCAGCGUCAAGAAGAGGUUUUGGAAAACCCAACACCAUCUCUUUGACCUCUCUUCCUGAGGUGAGCCUGUGGACGAAGCACGGUGCUGAGCAGGUGCCACGGGGCUGUGCCCUCUCUGAGGCUGACGUCACAACCCUGAGCAGGUGUGCGGACACAUCCCGCCUCUCGGAGGUGCCACACUGGGGAUGCCACGCUGAGGAUGUGGUGACGACACCUGAGCAGAGGAAGCGAGAGCAUGGUAUCUUUAAAAAGUUCAGCCCUUCAUUUCCCCUGGAUGCAGAGCAAGCAGCACUGUCCUGGCACCGUGAACAUGUCUCAUGCCCAUCGUUUUCCCAGAGUUUAACGCCAACAGAAAUGUCAGGUGCUGUUCUAAACGCUGUCUGUGUAUUGCCUGAGUUAAUCCUCAUAACACACAUAGAACAUAGUCCUUGGUUUCCAUUCUGAAGAAAUAAGCUGAGUCAGCAGAGAGAGGACCACGGGCUGAGGAACUCGCCACAGAGAAGAGUCAGGAAGCGGCUCCAGGGCUUCUGCUUCCGGAAGGGUCUCCUGCGGCCCAGACUCCUCUCAGGGACCUCAGAGCUCAGUCCAGGGCCCAGCACGUUGCUGCCAAGGGCUCCUCCUUAGACUGUAUGUUUGGGAAGCUGGGCCACUUAAGUAAGCUACAUUAAGCCACCAUGACUUGGCUAAUGUUUUCCUAUGUUUCUAUUUUUAUCACUCAUCAAAUAUACUUUUCUGUUUGUUUCCUACCAUUCAUGAUAUAUAAUUGUGAAUUGAAUAUUUGCACCAUGUUGUAAUCUAGCUGUGUUCCCGCACUAAGCUGCUUAAGAAAGACAAGCAGCUGAAAACAGGAAACCUGCAUUUUAGCUCAUCUGUGUUAUUGAUCCUGAGCAAACGUAUGAUUUUCACUAUCUUUUGAAAUACAGAUAAUAGCCAUCGGUGUCAUUGCUAUCAUCUGAAAUGACACACACAGUCCCCAUGUGGUGUUUUCAUUUUUCCCAUCACAUCAUCUCAUUUUAGCGGUGUAGAGGCCAGUCUGCAGGAGGGCUGAGCGGGGCCCGGAACCCCAGGCUCCAGGUUUCAGGCAUGAUUCCCAUUCCAGCUGCUGAUGUGGCCCUCGGAAGGCUCUGCCCCCACAUGGAGGAGGCAUCAUCCCCUCUCACUGACUGUCCAGCACCUGCUCUGCCCCCACAAGGAGAAGGCGUCAUCCCCUCUCACUGACUGUCCAGCACCUGCCCUGCCCCCACAAGGAGAAGGCGUCAUCCCCUCUCACUGACUGUCCACUCUGCCACCUGCCCUGCCUCAUCACCCCACUAAGAUCCGCCAGGG